GGCAGCCCCUCGUGCGGCGUUCAUCCUGUCAACUCCCCCAGGGCCGGAAGGCAGCAAGGGUACCCAGGCUCUGACGGGUGCGCGAGGGGUCCUCGCA
This 97-nucleotide signal recognition particle RNA is filed under the name Actinomycetota bacterium. RNAcentral's name for it is "Actinobacteria bacterium signal recognition particle sRNA small type". It matches the Rfam family "Bacterial small signal recognition particle RNA". Rfam says of the family: The signal recognition particle (SRP) is a universally conserved ribonucleoprotein involved in the co-translational targeting of proteins to membranes. Archaeal SRP consists of a 7S RNA and homologues of the eukaryotic SRP19 and SRP54 proteins. Lineage: Bacteria; Bacillati; Actinomycetota. The record is from RNAcentral.